AUCCAGCUGACUAGUCCCAAAUAGGACGAAACGCGCGUUCUGGAU
This 45-nucleotide non-coding RNA is filed under the name Schistosoma mansoni. Lineage: Eukaryota; Metazoa; Platyhelminthes; Trematoda; Strigeidida; Schistosomatidae. The record is from RNAcentral.